Molecule: ribosomal RNA, 442 nt
Filed under: uncultured bacterium
Lineage: Bacteria
Description: partial 16S ribosomal RNA
Rfam family: Bacterial small subunit ribosomal RNA
Source: RNAcentral
CCUACGGGUGGCAGCAGUGGGGAAUAUUGGGCAAUGGGCGCAAGCCUGACCCAGCAACGCCGCGUGAAGGAAGAAGGCUUUCGGGUUGUAAACUUCUUUUAAGAGGGAAGAGCAGAAGACGGUACCUCUUGAAUAAGCCACGGCUAACUACGUGCCAGCAGCCGCGGUAAUACGUAGGUGGCAAGCGUUGUCCGGAUUGACUGGGUGUAAAGGGCGUGUAGCCGGGCUGACAAGUCAGAUGUGAAAUCCGGGGGCUCAACCCGCGAACUGCAGUGGAAACUGGUGGUCUUGAGUAUCCGAGAGGCAGGCGGAAUUCGUCGUGUAGCGGUGAAAUGCGUAGAUAUGAGGAGGAACCCCAAUGGCGAAGGCAGCCUGCUGGACGAGAACUGACGGUGAGGCGCGAAAGCGUGGGGAGCAAACAGGAUUAGAUACCCCGGUAGUC